RNAcentral lists this long non-coding RNA (468 nucleotides) under Parus major (Great Tit). RNAcentral describes it as "lncRNA (ENSPMJG00000018600.1)". The record is from RNAcentral. Lineage: Eukaryota; Metazoa; Chordata; Aves; Passeriformes; Paridae.
CUCUUUUUUCUUUGUACUUGUCUCUUAGCUUGGCAGGUUGGCUUUUUCCACAAAUUGGAAGAAAUAGAAUAAAGUGAAAAGAUAACCAAAGAGAAGGUGAAGAAAGGUGUUCAGAGCUGACAGUGCUGCAGAUGUGCAUGAAGUGGUGCUUCCAGCCCCUGGCCAAUGCAAUCCCAGUGCCCAGGAAUCCCCAGGAAUCCCCAGUCUGCCCCUGAAUGGGAGCUUCAUCCCCUCAGUGAAACACUUCCCCAGGUUGCCUUUCCCUUUAUUGACUUUUGAACACUCUUGCUUAAAGUCCAGUGGAUGUGGCAAAUUAAGUUAAAGACAAACACAGACCCUCUGUGAGGGAGCAUUACUGGGCCUGAUGUGUCUGCUGGGCCAUUUGGUGAAAAUAAUCUUCAUUCUGCAUGCUGGAAGAUGAUUCUGUCUGUUCUUACUGGUAUGUUUGUGUUCUUCUGAACAUUGUCU